AUUGAACGCUGGCGGAAUGCUUUACACAUGCAAGUCGAACGGUAGAGGGGGCAACCCCUCGAGAGUGGCGAACGGGUGAGUAAUAUAUCGGAACGUGCCCAGUCGUGGGGGAUAACGUAGCGAAAGUUACGCUAAUACCGCAUACGAUCUAAGGAUGAAAGCGGGGGAUCGCAAGACCUCGUGCGAUUGGAGCGGCCGAUAUCAGAUUAGGUAGUUGGUGGGGUAAAGGCUAACCAAGCCAACGAUCUGUAGCUGGUCUGAGAGGACGACCAGCCACACUGGAACUGAGACACGGUCCAGACUCCUACGGGAGGCAGCAGUGGGGAAUAUUGGACAAUGGGGGCAACCCUGAUCCAGCGAUGCCGUGUGUGUGAGGAAGGCCUGCGGGUUGUAAAGCACUUUUGUUUGGGAGGAAAAGCUGUGCAUGAAUAAGGUACAGCCAUGACGUUACCAAAAGAAUAAGCACCGGCUAACUCUGUGCCAGCCGCCGCCGUAA
This 496-nucleotide ribosomal RNA is filed under the name uncultured bacterium. RNAcentral describes it as "partial 16S ribosomal RNA". It matches the Rfam family "Bacterial small subunit ribosomal RNA", at positions 30 to 523 of the family's 1533-position model. The record is from RNAcentral.